RNAcentral lists this transfer RNA (73 nucleotides) under Hofstenia miamia. Its description in RNAcentral is "tRNA-Val for anticodon AAC". Lineage: Eukaryota; Metazoa; Xenacoelomorpha; Acoela; Hofsteniidae. The record is from RNAcentral.
GGCACCAUGUUGUAGUUGUUAUCAAUUCUGCCUAACACGCAGAAGGUCCCCAGUUCGAGCCUGGGUGGUGUCA